This 799-nucleotide ribosomal RNA is filed under the name uncultured Glomus. RNAcentral's name for it is "SSU rRNA". It matches the Rfam family "Eukaryotic small subunit ribosomal RNA", at positions 314 to 1114 of the family's 1831-position model. The record is from RNAcentral. Lineage: Eukaryota; Fungi; Glomeromycota; Glomeromycetes; Glomerales; Glomeraceae.
AUCAACUUUCGAUGGUAGGAUAGAGGCCUACCAUGGUGGUAACGGGUAACGGGGUGUUAGGGCACGACACCGGAGAGGGAGCCUGAGAAACGGCUACCACAUCCAAGGAUGGCAGCAGGCGCGCAAAUUACCCAAUCCCGACACGGGGAGGUAGUGACAAUAAAUAACAAUACGGGGUUCUUUUGGAUUUCGUAAUUGGAAUGAGUACAAUUUAAAUCUCUUAACGAGGAACAAUUGGAGGGCAAGUCUGGUGCCAGCAGCCGCGGUAAUUCCAGCUCCAAUAGCGUAUAUUAAAGUUGUUGCAGUUAAAAAGCUCGUAGUUGAAUUUCGGGGUUAGUAGGCUGGUCGUGCCACAGGUAUGCACUGGUCUUACUGAUUCCUCCUUCCUGAUGAACCGUAAUGCCAUUAAUUUGGUGUUGCGGGGAGUCUGGACUGUUACUUUGAAAAAAUUAGAGUGUUUAAAGCAGGCUAACGCUUGAAUACAUUAGCAUGGAAUAACGAAAUAGGACGUUCGAUCUUAUUUUGUUGGUUUCUAAGAUUGACGUAAUGAUUAAUAGGGAUAGUUGGGGGCAUUAGUAUUCAAUUGUCAGAGGUGAAAUUCUUGGAUUUAUUGAAGACUAACUACUGCGAAAGCAUUUGCCAAGGAUGUUUUCAUUAAUCAAGAACGAAAGUUAGGGGAUCGAAGACGAUCAGAUACCGUCGUAGUCUUAACCAUAAACUAUGCCGACUAGGGAUCGGAUGAUGUUAAUUUUAUAAUGACUCAUUCGGCGCCUUACGGGAAACCAAAGUGUUUGGGUUC